AAUCUAUGCACAUGAUACUUCUAAUACAAUUCUUUAAAUCUUUCUCAUGCUUCAUACAAGCUUUCAUCUUCCAACUGUUUGAAUGAAGUUAAAUCAUUUUGAAGAUU
Hibiscus syriacus is the source of this 107-nucleotide small nucleolar RNA. NCBI's taxonomy places the organism in Eukaryota, Viridiplantae, Streptophyta, Magnoliopsida, Malvales, Malvaceae. The record is from RefSeq and is a predicted model, not a curated record.